GAUGAACGCUGGCGGCGUGCCUAAUACAUGCCAGUCGAGCGAACAGACGAGAGUGCUUGCACUCUCUGACGUUAGCGGCGGACGGGUGAGUAACACGUGGGUAACCUACCUAUAAGACUGGGAUAACUUCGGGAAACCGGAGCUAAUACCGGAUAAUAUUUAGCUUCGCAUGAAGCAAUAGUGAAAGACGGUUCUGCUGUCACUUAUAGAUGGACCCGCGGUGUAUUAGCUAGUUGGUGAGGUAACGGCUCACCAAGGCAACGAUACAUAGCCGACCUGAGAGGGUGAUCGGCCACACUGGGACUGAGACACGGCCCAGACUCCUACGGGAGGCAGCAGUAGGGAAUCUUCCGCAAUGGACGAAAGUCUGACGGAGCAAUGCCGCGUGAGUGAAGAAGGUUUUCGGAUCGUAAAACUCUGUUGUAAGGGAGGAACAAGUACGUUAGUAACUGAACGUACCUUGACGGUACCUUACCAGAAAGCCACGGCUAACUACGUG
RNAcentral lists this ribosomal RNA (499 nucleotides) under uncultured bacterium. RNAcentral's name for it is "partial 16S ribosomal RNA". It matches the Rfam family "Bacterial small subunit ribosomal RNA", at positions 28 to 507 of the family's 1533-position model. The record is from RNAcentral.